This is a long non-coding RNA of Macaca mulatta (Rhesus monkey), 1101 nucleotides long. RefSeq lists it as uncharacterized. Lineage: Eukaryota; Metazoa; Chordata; Mammalia; Primates; Cercopithecidae. The record is from RefSeq and is a predicted model, not a curated record.
CACCCACAAUCCUGGCUGUGCAAGAAACACUUGACUUCCUCGACUCUUCUCUUUCAAGUCCUUCUUUCACCCUAGGUCACUUCUGUCCCCUGCCUCCAUUCUUAGAAAGCGCUGGUCCUCCUGUCUGUGCCCCAGCCGACGCUCCAUGCACGGCCUGUUGGGGUGUCCCUUCCCUCCUCCGCCCUGCCUGAAGCUCAAGUGUCACCUGUACAGCUGAACCCCAGGUCUGUUUCGGGGCACGGGGAAACAGUCUACAUCCCUCAGGACUUAGGAUGCUCAAAUCUGGACCUCGCGAAGCCAGACCAUAAGAUCUACAGGGGCUCUCAGACGCCACCGCAUCCAACAGCUCGAAGAAGGAACCAGAGAAGACUAGAAACAGGAUGGAAUGGGAAGGUGGAGGGAGAGGCGAAGGGGAAGUCGCGAUGCUGACUGCAAGGCCCCCUCGUCCUCAGGCGUCCAGCUUGCAGAGACUGCCCCUGCCUUGGGAGAGUCCUCACAGGCCACACCUGCCACUGGGCCAGGCCACAGCAGACACUCAUGACAGACGAUAAGAAUGACAGCUGCCCGCGCUUGAGCAGGCACUCUAGGUGACUGUUGUGCUCAGUGCUUUUCAAGCAUAAUCUGCCCUAACCUUCACACCAGCCCUGUGGAGUAGGUGAAUCCCACCCCAUCUUACAGAGGUGGACACUGGGGUUUGGAGUGGUUGAGUGACUCGCUGUCAGACAAGCUGAAAUCUGACUGCAAUGCCUGUGUUUGGAUCCCAUGCCAGAGGUUGCAAGCUGACCCCAGGCCGAUUCAGCCCGUACACAGGUUUCGCUUGAUUCACACACGUGAGGCCUCCUCACUGUUUUAAAUUUUAUUCGUUGUCAACAUUUAGCAAUCAGAAGAGUUAACAUUAAACCUCACAUUUCUGAAUUCUCUAGAAAAAUUAGGACAUCAGGCCUCACUGGGCCUAUGUUUCCUCCUGGGAAUAACUGGCUGAGCUGGGUAGCAGCUGACGCCUUUACAUCAGACUCUUCUGCCUCGUUUGCCCCAGUCCUCACCACUCCCUAUUGUACCUCCAACACCAAAGACAAGAAUCAAAGGCCACUUUUCACCCUC